CGUGCCUAACACAUGCAAGUCGUACGAGAAAGUUGGCUUCGGCCGAUGAGUAAAGUGGCGCACGGGUGAGUAACGCGUGGAUAAUCUACCCUUUAGUCUGGAAUAACUUGCCGAAAGGUGAACUAAUACCGGAUAAUAUGCCGAUUUCCCCGGAGAUCGUCAUCAAAGAAGGCUUCUGUUUACAUGCUUUUGCUUAAGGAUGAGUCCGCGUACCAUUAGCUAGUUGGUAGGGUAAUGGCCUACCAAGGUUAUGAUGGUUAGCUGGUCUGAGAGGAUGAUCAGCCACACUGGAACUGAGACACGGUCCAGACUCCUACGGGAGGCAGCAGUGAGGAAUAUUGCGCAAUGGGGGAAACCCUGACGCAGCAACGCCGCGUGAGUGAGGAAGGUUUUCGGAUUGUAAAGCUCUGUCGAGCGGAAAGAAAUGCAUUAUGGCUAAUAUCCAUAAUGCUUGACGGUACCGCUAAAGGAAGCACCGGCUAACUCCGUGCCAGCAGCCGCGGUAAUACGGGGGGUGCAAGCGUUGUUCGGA
This 532-nucleotide ribosomal RNA is filed under the name uncultured Syntrophaceae bacterium. RNAcentral's name for it is "bacterial SSU rRNA". It matches the Rfam family "Bacterial small subunit ribosomal RNA", at positions 43 to 549 of the family's 1533-position model. The record is from RNAcentral. Lineage: Bacteria; Pseudomonadati; Thermodesulfobacteriota; Syntrophia; Syntrophales; Syntrophaceae.